AGUGAACGCUGGCGGUAGGCCUAACACAUGCAAGUCGAACGGCAGCACAGUAAGAGCUUGCUCUUACGGGUGGCGAGUGGCGGACGGGUGAGGAAUACAUCGGAAUCUACUUUUUCGUGGGGGAUAACGUAGGGAAACUUACGCUAAUACCGCAUACGACCUACGGGUGAAAGCAGGGGAUCUUCGGACCUUGCGCGAUUGAAUGAGCCGAUGUCGGAUUAGCUAGUUGGCGGGGUAAAGGCCCACCAAGGCAACGAUCCGUAGCUGAUCUGAGAGGAUGAUCAGCCACACUGGAACUGAGACACGGUCCAGACUCCUACGGGAGGCAGCAGUGGGGAAUAUUGGACAAUGGGCGCAAGCCUGAUCCAGCCAUACCGCGUGGGUGAAGAAGGCCUUCGGGUUGUAAAGCCCUGUUGUUGGGAAAGAAAAGCAGCAGGUUAAUACCCCGCUGUUCUGACGGUACCCAAAGAAUAAGCACCGGCUAACUUCGUG
Molecule: ribosomal RNA, 492 nt
Filed under: uncultured bacterium
Lineage: Bacteria
Description: partial 16S ribosomal RNA
Rfam family: Bacterial small subunit ribosomal RNA
Source: RNAcentral